GCCGGGCGUGGUGGCACAUGCCCGUAGUCCCAGCUACACAGGAGGCUGAGGCAGGAGAAUCACUUGAGCCCAGGAGGUGGAGGUUGCAGUGAGCUGAGAUCACGCCACUGCACUCCAGCCUGGGCAACAGAGUGAGACUCUGUCUCAA
Unclassified non-coding RNA from Pongo abelii (Sumatran orangutan), 148 nucleotides. It matches the Rfam family "Metazoan signal recognition particle RNA". From Rfam's summary of the family: The signal recognition particle (SRP) is a universally conserved ribonucleoprotein. It is involved in the co-translational targeting of proteins to membranes. The record is from Ensembl. Lineage: Eukaryota; Metazoa; Chordata; Mammalia; Primates; Hominidae.